UACGAAGGGGGCUAGCGUUGCUCGGAAUCACUGGGCGUAAAGCGCACGUAGGCGGAUUGCUAAGUCAGGGGUGAAAUCCUGGAGCUCAACUCCAGAACUGCCUUUGAUACUGGCGACCUUGAGUCCGGGAGAGGUGAGUGGAACUGCGAGUGUAGAGGUGAAAUUCGUAGAUAUUCGCAAGAACACCAGUGGCGAAGGCGGCUCACUGGCCCGGUACUGGCGCUGAGACGCGAAAGCGUGGGGAGCAAACAGG
Molecule: ribosomal RNA, 253 nt
Filed under: uncultured bacterium
Lineage: Bacteria
Description: partial 16S ribosomal RNA
Rfam family: Bacterial small subunit ribosomal RNA
Source: RNAcentral